RNA transcript from Neltuma alba, 1743 nucleotides. It is a transcript of the gene named serine carboxypeptidase-like 50, with no coding region annotated. The record is from RefSeq and is a predicted model, not a curated record. Lineage: Eukaryota; Viridiplantae; Streptophyta; Magnoliopsida; Fabales; Fabaceae. The transcript is spliced from 2 exons.
GUUGGUCAAUCUCACUUUCGGGAUCCAAAUUCCUCGCCUCACCAAUGGAGUCAACAAGAACCAAUUCUCUUGUGAUCUUCCUCCUCUCCACUCUUGCCUUCUGCUUAAAUCACAACUAUGUUUCUUCUUCUUCGUCCCCAGAUCCAUCCCCUUUGUUCCCCCAACAAACGCUACCCACAAAAUCUGGCUACCUCCCUGUCAGCCAUGCUUCCAAUUCUGCCAUUUUCUACACUUUCUACGAAGCUCAGCAUCUCACUUCACCUCUAUCCCAAACCCCACUUCUCAUCUGGCUCCAAGGCGGCCCUGGCUGCUCCUCCAUGAUCGGUAACUUCUUCGAGCUCGGUCCAUGGCGCGUCACCAAAUCCCUAACUCUCAAACCCAAUCCUGCCUCGUGGAACAGAAUCUUCGGCCUACUUUUCCUCGAUAACCCAAUCGGUACUGGAUUCAGUGUGGCCUCGGAUCCUCAAGAAAUCCCAAGAGACCAGAAAUCUGUUGCCAAACACCUCUUUGCUGCCAUUACUAAGUUCAUUCAACUUGAUCCUGUUUUCAAGUACCGACCAAUUUAUAUAACCGGAGAAAGCUACGCUGGGAAGUAUGUUCCUGCAAUUGGGUAUUACAUACUACACAGGAAUUCUCGAUCGAAUGUUUCACAGAGAGUGAAUUUGGCAGGUGUGGCAAUUGGGGAUGGGCUGAUUGAUCCAGUGACACAAGUUGCUACCCAUGCUAAGAAUGCUUACUAUAUUGGAUUGAUCAAUGAGAGGCAGAAGAAUGAGGUGGAGAAGGCUCUGUCAGAGGCGAUCAGAUUGACCAAAUUGGGGAAUUGGAGUGCAGCAACAGAUGCUAGAAGCAAUGCUUUGAGUCUGUUGCAGAACAUGACUGGUUUAGCUACUUUGUAUGACUACACAAAGAAAGCUCCUUAUGAGAGCAAUUUGGUCACUGAGUUCUUGAAAUCCAGUGAGGUGAAGAAGGCACUAGGGGUGAAUGAAUCUGCUGUGUUUGAAGGUUGUAGUGAUGCUGUUCUAGCUAUAUUAUAUGAGGACUUAAUGAAGAGUGUGAAGUAUAUGGUGGAGUACUUGGUGAAGAGGACUAGGGUGCUUCUAUACCAAGGGCAAUAUGACUUGAAGUUAGGGGUGCCUCCCAGCGAGGCAUGGGUGAAGACAAUGAAAUGGGAAGGGAUUGAGAAGUAUUUGAAUGCAGAGAGAAAGAUCUGGAAAGUGAAUAAAGUUCCAGUAGGAUAUGUCCAACAAUGGGGAAGCUUCACAAGUGUUGUGGUUUUGGGUGGUGGCCAUCUUUUGCCAGCUGAUCAACCUCUGAACUCUCAAAUGAUGAUAGAAGACUGGGUUUUGGAGAGGAAUAUGUUUGAAUAUGAGAAACAAGGAAUAGUUUCUGUGAUUUAGUUUGACGCCUUGUAGAUUUUGUCGUUGUCAUUUUAUUGUGCCUGAGAUUGUGAUUCUUUGAAGUUUCUGAUAUGAUGUGCCCCUGCAGGGUUGGCUUAGCUCUGAAUCCCUGGAGUUCGGCAUAACUCAGUCUCUCUCUGAACUUUUAACUCGAUUGAAAAUGCGUCCGAUAUCCACAUUAUGGUGGCCGCAGAGGUGAGGCGUGGCCAAGUCCAUUUAUAUCGUCUCCGACGGAAGUCUAUCGACGGCGAACGCUAUAGUUUGGUCGACCUGUUCCUCGUCUCUGACAUCACAGUGAUGGUAACUCUCUUGAUGGGGAUAGUGAAGCUGCGAGUUGAUGACCCAG